CAGCCGCCGCGGGAAUACAGAGGAUGCAAGCGUUAUCCGGAAUGAUUGGGCGUAAAGCGUCUGUAGGUGGCUUUUCAGGUCUGCCGUCAAAUCCCAGGGCUCAACCCUAGACAGGCGGUGGAAACUACCAAGCUGGACUACGGUAGAGGCAGAGGGAAUGUCUGGUGGAGCGAUGAAAUGUGUUGAGAUUGGAAAGAACACCAACAGCGAAAGCACUCUGCUAGGCCCACACUGACACUGAGAGACGAAAGCUAGGGGAACAAAUGGGAUUAGAUACCCCAGUAGUCCCUGUCUCUUAUAC
This 301-nucleotide ribosomal RNA is filed under the name uncultured bacterium. RNAcentral describes it as "partial 16S ribosomal RNA". It matches the Rfam family "Bacterial small subunit ribosomal RNA", at positions 509 to 807 of the family's 1533-position model. The record is from RNAcentral.